CGGGAAUCCAAUAAAUAACUUGAAUGUAAAUAAAAGUAAUUAAAGAACUCAGGAAUUAUGAAUUGAAGAACCUGGAGAACGAUGAAGAACGAACCAGUUGCUGCAAAAGUACAAUGUUGAGGAAGAUCCGACAGAUCCGGCUCCUCCUCCGCUCUCCUCUUCUCUCUCCCUAUUUUCUAGAUUACAACUAGAACUAACUAGAACUAGAACUAGAAGAACUAGAACUAGAACUAGAUGAACUAGAACUAGAACUAGAUGAACUAGAGGUAAAACUAGAAGAACUAGAGGGAUCCUCUCUACUUGGAUGAAGAAUUGAAACCCUAACUUUGAUUCUGUAGAAGAGGUAUGAUCUCCAGGGGCCAGGGGGUCUGGUUUUAUAGUCCCUUCAGAUGAAUCUUGGUCGUUGGAUCAAACCAACAUUGAUUGAAUGGUUAUCUUUGAUCCUUUAGGUCGGUGGAGCAAUAUCCCGAAAGAGAGUCCCGUUUGGACUCUAGGAGGGGGCGGGCGCCCAGGUCAACUGGGCGGGCGCCCAGUGCCUGGCCCCGUUCGGCCUCCGCUUCCUUCCCGUGGCUUCUGGAGUCUUCUAGAUGGUAGAAAAUUGUGCGGCACGUUAAUAUCUCUUUGUAAACCCGACGUGUGGGCCUUUCCUCCAUAUUUCCUGAUAACCGCCUGCAGAAAUAGACAAACACCAAAACUCGUGGAAUUCUGUCAGAUAAAACCCUAAGUCUAGGUGUUGGUUGCAUUUGGAUCCUUUUCCAUGAUUAAUUGAUGGUUAAAUAUGAGCAUUAAGGACCGUCAACAAGCUCCCCUAAGCUUAACUUUUUCUCUUCCCUGAGCAAGGAUGAACUCAAGAGUUUCUGCAGUGGUUUCAUGCCUUAAAGAUACACAUGCGUUCAAACAAGAUCUCAUCUCUAGGUUAGGGUAAACUGUUAAGAUUUAAAUUUACUCAUUUUACCUUCCACCAUGGGGCUUGCAACCGUCACUUAUGUCUUGAGCAGUUAAAAGAUAGAAUGGUCUAGUCAAGCGCCAUGUCUCUUGUUCUUCGAUUAACUAUAGCUCUGGAGUUUUUGCAGAUUUUCAAAUAAAACUCAGAGAUUCCUUGUAUGACUCUCUCUAGUCUCUCAUUUGUGGUAUUUCUAGAUCCUUACCAAGGCAGUGAUGGUAUAUGCCUUCUCUCAAAGUAUGUGGUAUUUGUAGUAUGAAGCAUAGUGGCAUUGCCUUCUCUCUCACCCUACUCUAAUAAGGUUUUGAUAUCUGGAACUCAUAGGUGGGAGACAGCUAAUACGUACUUACAAGACAUUUAUUGCAUAGUCAAACCAUGGAUCCAGAAGAACAAGGCAAUAAGUCAAAUCAAGAUGUGCAUAUGAGGCGAAUGAAUGGUGUAUGGUGAUGAUGGUGAUAACAAUGGUGAAAGUCUAAUUCUACUUGUGCUCUUUUGAGGGGAUACAUACCUUUCUUGCUCUUUUGAAACUUUUUGAGGAGAAUGAGAUGCUCUAUAUUUUCUUUUUCUUUUCUCUCAGGUGGGUAUCUUGUACCCCUAAUUCUACUGUCGGACACUUGUCCAUUUUUACCUCUCGUCUCACUUUUUCUUUUCUUUCAAGGUUCCGGGCACUUGCCCCUUUUAUUUCCUCGUAUCUUUUUUUCUUCUCUUUUUUUUCUUUUUUAGAGCACUCAUCUCUUGAAAUAAUGUAGCAAGUGGUAGUAACCAAGAUAACUUGAGCAUUUAUUUCACAGGUGAAAAUAGAAAUGUUUUUGGCCAUUCUCUCCCGGAUUAGGAGUAGAAUGUUUUUGGGUGGUUCUGGAGAUGGAAAUGGGUGGAUAUAUGUGGAUGGUACUUCCAGAGUGGAAGCAGCAUAUAUGAGUGAACGUGCAAGUGAAUCUUGAUUUUAACCACAUGACAAGCUCCUAAGGGUCUACACAGCUUGACCACACUCAAUGCUCAUAAGCAGUAAAAAGUAAAUGUGUGGCUCAAAGUCUAGCAAGCAUGUAUAUAUGGCUAUGGUAGGAAUUUAAACUCUCAUCAUACAGGAACUCAUCAUGUGUUAUUUUAAAUAUUUUCAAAGAUAAAAUUCUCCAUAAUUCUAGCAUCUCUAGGAACAGAUAAACAACAGCUCAACCUUCCCAUAUCAUAUCCGUUAACGACUUAGACUUCAGAUCAAGUACUCUUCCCACAAGUUCAGGUUUAGAGCAAAUCUUAAUUAAUAACAGUCAUUCCUAAACUUGAGAGAGAUUUCAAUUUUGAGAACUAGUCAUGGCAGAGCAACUAUUCAUCAUUUCCAUGUGAGAGCUUAUCAUGAGGGUUCAUAGCAAACUUUAUUUAUUUAUUUAUUUAGCAAACUAAGCAAAGAUAUAUAUGUAAGCAUAAAAUCGUUAUUUGGGUUUUUAUGAUUAUGCAUCUUAUUAUUAUUUGAGUAAAAUAUAAACGUGAGUAGAACACUUAGCUAGAUAAAUGGGGGUGCUCUCCCCCAAGCUGGAUUUUGACCUAAUUUUUUCUGAUGUAGCUAGCAGGUGGCGGAGAUGUAUUUGAAUGUCGGCAGCACUCUGUCAGCGAUUAGGAUGUCCUCCAUCUGCUAGUCUUCUUUGAUCUUUGAAUUCUGUGGAGCUCAAAUAGACAACAAAGCUUUGUGGAACUAGUUAAGUGUUAGCAUAAAUAUCUAGCCUUUAUCAUGUUGAGCUUCCUCAAUAAAUGUUACUCUCUUUAGUAGGAUCACAAUCUUAUUUAUAUUUUCAUUUUUAUAGGACAGGAAUAUAUAUUUAUUUUAUUUUUACGCCACCACAGUGAAUGUACUUAUGGGUUUUAUGCCAUGAUCAUACUCACAUGGGGCUUACUAUUUUUUUAACAUUUUUAUUUUCUUUUCGAGAUGAUAUGAACCUGAUUAACUAAGCAAACUAUUUUAAAUAAUUGAAAGGAAAAAGAUAACUACCAACUUUACCUCUUGGCAAGGCGUUCUGUGUUUUUAAGUCCUUCGAACAGGACUCUCCGUUUUCUCAGUCGUCCUGGGAUUCGCUGGGUGGCGUAGUCGGUGAUUCCUACGACGUCUGCUCUUCAUGUAUAACUAUCUUCUUUCUCCACACCUGACUCGGUGCUACGGUCUCCUUAGGACAGUUCUGUUCAAGCUGUAUGUCUUCAGACCUUACUACUUCUCCUUCGUAGUCUACCCAUCCAUCCUUGAUGAUUUGCCUCCUCUGGUUACGGUUGCGUCAUCUUCUUCUUGUACUAACCUGCUUAGGGUCUUCAACUAUAUAGUCAGUAAAAUAGCGGCGUACCUUCUCAGAGGGGAAGUGCAUGUGGACUUCUCCAGUUCCAAUGUAGAUGAUUGCUUUAACGGUGCUGAGGAACGGUCUUCCAAGGAUGAUGGGUGGAUCGUACUUGUCUUCAACCUUUCGGAAUGUCUGAUCUGCCAUCUGGAGCUGAAUGUAUGUCGAUUUUAGGGGCAUGGUUCCGAACAGGAGCUGAUAGGUGACUGCAGCCAUUAUGUUGACGCCUGACCCGGUGUCGCAAAGUGUCUUCUAAAAAGAAUAUCCGUUGAUUGUGCACUUGAUGCUUGGAACACUAGGGUCGUCCUUCUUGAUCAAGAACGGUGACUUAAAUCGACAAUCUUGACCUCCUUGAACUGCAGUGACCAUCUUAGUUGACUUGGUCCACAUUUUCUUGUUCCUGUCCCUCCUGUUGGUCCUCUUCCUUGGUUCAUGUUGGGAUUGCUCUGAGAUUUGUGUAGUCUUGUUCUUGAAGGAAAACGUCUCCUUCCAUCCCUUGAUGUAGAAACUGAUCUUGGCAGCACUAGCGUAGAUGACAGCUCCUGAGGUGUUCAGGAAUGGCCUCCCUAGGAUGGGUGCCCUCUCAUCAGUACCAGUCUCUAUCACCACGAAGUCUGCUGGGGCGUACAAGGUACCAACUCGGACGCAGAGGUUCUUCAAUAUUCCCUUUGGGAACUUAGUGUCUGAUCUGCAGGCUGCAAGCACACGGUUGUUUCUAGUAAAGGAUGUGUAAAGAAUUUUUUUCAUAGAGUACCCUGGGCAUAAUGUUGAUGCUGGAACAAAGUCGCAGAGUGCUUCUAGGAAGUCCACCCUGCCGAUGGAGAUCGGGAUGACGGGGCAUCCUGGGUUGUCUCUCUUGACUGGCAGAAGGUCAGUAAUUACUUACACAAUAGGGUUACUCUAGUAGUUAUGUCCUCAAGCAUCUCAGGGCAGUGGUUGCCUGAGUGUCCAGUAUCUUCAUUGUGUUUGUGCUCGUAGAUCUAGGUUCUUCACUUGGUGGAGUGUGGGAGUUGUAAAACUCCUUCAUAUUUUGCUCGAAGUGUACCUGCUCAUAGAGACAAGGCAGAGAUCAAGUGCAUGGGCCCUAUUGGUGGAAAACACCAACAGAACCAAAAGUGUAUUUGUUCUUCUCUAACCUUAAGCAUAGUGAGCAAGACAAAGUUGAUGGAUAAUAAGAUCAUGAGUAUAACAUUUAAAACAUUUGUCAGAUCAAAUCGCUCAACCUAAUGGAAAGAUAAUCUAUCUAUAUUUAUGAUGUUUUUUUUAUAAAAUAUAUCUUCCAAAGAUUGAGUGUGCAACAUUUUAGUUCAUAAGAUUAGGAGUGUGGGAUCACAAUGGUGGAAGGACUAAACAUGUUGAAUCUAUUGGGUUGGUUAAUCUAGAGUUGUAAAUCAUACAUGUUUAUCUCUUUAUUCAUGUGAACUCUAGAACCAAGGAGAAACUUAUAAAAGUGAUAGUCAAGUACCUUAAGAUAUUACCUUACUUGAAGAGUGAUGGUAUAGUAUCACCUUGUGGAAGCUUUCCUCUCUUAGCGGUUGUGCAUCGUGUUUGUGGCACCCUCCAUGGAUCAUCUCUUGUGAGCUAUGCCUUCCUCAUGCAAAUUGUUAAACUUCAUGUGUCUCUCUCUUUGUCUCCAAUGUGAGUUUAUCUCAGGACUUCCCAGGUCGAUAUUGAAAGUUUUCCUGUAGGGGUUAGUCCAACAAAAUAUCCAAUAUCUACUAUAGCAUACUAUCGGCUCAAAGAUCAACCUAGACACCAUGUCUAAUUUGAUUUAGGAGGGAAUUUUAACCUAAGCAUCAUGCUUAAUUUAAAAUCCUUUGGAAGUAAGAUCAUCAUUCCUAAACUAAGCACCAUGCUUAAUUAAGAGAUAAAUGAAACUACUCCCACCUAGACAUAAACUAAAGCAAAUAAAGGCACCAUGAGAGCAUUUAUAGAGAUCUACUCAAGUGGAGAUUGUUGGGUAUUUUAAACGCAAACAGAAAAAUCCGCAAGCGCACGGAUACCGAUGUAGCUUUCACCCGGGAGUAUUCCAGAGUAUCGAUUUUCCACAGAGAACGUGAGUGUACUAAUUAAGAUCCAAGAUCGCCCAAGGAUAACUAUAUAAUUAUUUUUGGUGGGAAGAGAGGAAGUUUCCUGAGAGUUCUCUAGUUGAUCUAAGAAUCAAGAAUUACUUCAAGAUUAUCUAUAUCGGGGCAUCAGAGCACUAACCACAGAAAGAGAUGAGAAGGGGACUAGGAAGGUCUGACUACGGUCCUACAAACACCGAUCCGAACGAGGUGGAAUACGUCGACCGUUAGGGCUGUCACUACCCUAAGGCUACCACAACAAUCCGCAAGAUUGGGUGCAAUUCCAGGUAAUUGCAAGACUAAACACCACGUCUAAUCUAUUAAUUACUACUCUAGCGUUAUAAAGACUAGAGCACUUGAUGCAAGCGGGAAUCCAAUAAAUAACUUGAAUGUAAAUAAAAGUAAUUAGAGUACUCAGGAAUUAUGAAUUGAAGAACCUGGAGAACGAUGAAGAACGAACCAGAUGCUGCAAAAGUAUAAUGUUGAGGAAGAUCCGACAGAUCUGGCUCCUCCUCCGCUCUCCUCUUCUCUCUCUCUAUUUUCUUGAUUACAACUAGAACUAACUAGAACUAGAACUAGAGGAACUAGAACUAGAACUAGAUGAACUAGAACUAGAUCUAGAUGAACUAGAGGUAGAACUAGAAGAACUAGAGGGAUCCUCUCUAUUUGGAUGAAGAAUUGAAACCCUAGCUUUGAUUCUGUAGAAGAGGUAUGCUCUCCAGGGGCCAGGGGGCCUUGCUUAUAUAGUCUUUUCAGAUGAAUCUGGGCCGUCGGAUCAAACCGACAUUAAUCGCACGGUUUUCCUUGGUCCCUUAGGUCGGUGGAGCACGAUCCGCGAAGUUGAAGCUGAUUGGUUACUGUAGCUGGGCGGGAACCCAAGGGACUUGGGCGGGCGCCCUGCCCUCGGGCCCGAUCGGCCUCCCGUUCGUUUCUGUGGCUUCUGGAGUCUUCUAGAUGGUAGAAAAUUGCGCGGCACGUUAAUAUCUCUAUGUAAACCCGACGUGUGGGCCUUUCUUUCAUAUUUCCUGAUAACCACCUGCAGAAAUAGACAAACACCAAAACUCGUAGAAUUCUGUCAGAUAAAACCCUAAGUCUAGGUGUUGGCUGCAUAUAAGUCUUUUUCCAUAAUUAGUUGAUGGUUAAAUGUGAGCAUUAAGGACCGUCAACAAGCUCCCCCAAGCUUAACCUUUGCUCGUCCCUGAGCAAAGAUGAACUCAAGAAUUUCUGCAGUGGUUUCAAUACAUGCGUUCAAACAAGAUCUCAUCUCUGGGUUAGGGUAAACUGUUAAGAUUUAAAUUUACUCAUUUUUCCUUCCACCAUGGGGCUUGCAACCGUCACUUGUGUCUUGAGUAGUUAAAAGAUAGAACGGUCUAGUCAAGCGCCAUGUCUCUUGUUCUUGAUCAACUAUAGCUCUGGAGUUUUUGCAGAUUUUCAAAUAAAACUCAGAGAUUCCUUGUAUGACUCUCUCUAGUCUCUCUUUUGUGGUAUUUCUGGAUCCUUACCAAGGCAAUAAAGGUGUAUGCCUUCUCUCAAAGUAUAUGGUAUUUUUGGUAUGUGGCAUAGUGGCAUUGCCUUCUCUCUCACCCUACUCUAAUAAGGUUUUGAUAUCUGGAGCUCAUAGGUGGGAGACAACUAAUACAUACUUACAAGAUAUUUAUUGCAUAGUCAAACCAUGGAUCCAGAAGAACAAGUCAAUAAGUCAAAUCAAGAUGUGCAUGUGUGGCGAAUGAAUGGUGUAUGGUAAUGAUGGUGAUAACAAUGGUGAAAGUCUAAUUCUACUUGUGCUCUUUUGAGGGGAUACAUACCUUCCUUGCACUUUGAAGCUUUUUUAGGGGAAUGAGAUGCUCUAUAUUUUCCUUUUGUUUUCUUUUCUCUCAGGUGGGUAUCUUGUACCCCUAAUUCUACUGUCGGACACUUGUCCAUUUUUACCUCUCGUCUCACUUUUUCUUUUCUUUCGAGGUUUCGGGCACUUGCCCCUUUUUAUUUCCUCGUAUUUAUUUUUUUUCUUUCUCUUUUUUUAGAGCACUCAUCUCAUGAGAUAAUGUAGCAAGUGGUAGUAACAAGAUAACUUGAGAAUUUAUUUCACAGGGGAAAACAGAAAUGUUUUUGGCUAUUCUCUCCCGGAUUAGGAGUAGAAUGUUUUUAGGUGAUUCUAGAGAUGGAAAUGGGUGGAUAUAUGUGGAUGCGUACUUCCGGAGUAGAAGCAGCAUGUAUGAGUGAACGUGCAAGUGAAUCUUGAUUUAACCACAUGACAAGCUCCUAAGGGUGUAUACAGCUUGACCACACUCAAUGCUCAUAAGCAGUAAAAAGUAAAUGUGUGGCUCAAAGUCUAGCAAGCAUGUAUAUAUGGCUGUGGUAGGAAUUUAAACUCUCAUCAUACAGGAACUCAUCAUGCAACAUUUUAAAGAUUUUCAAAGAUAAAAUUCUCCAGAAUUCUAGCAUCUCUAGGAACAGAUAAACAGCAGCUCAACCUUCCCAUAUCAUAUCCGUUAACGACUUAGACUUUAGAUCAAGUACUCUUCCCACAAGUUCAGGUUUAGAGCAAAUCUUAAUUAAUACCAGUCAUGCCUAAACUUGAGAGAGAUUUCAGUUUUGAGAACUAGCCAUGGCAGAGCAAUUAUUCAUCAUUUCCAUGUGAGAGCUUAUCAUGAGGGUUCAUAGCAAACUUUAUUUAUUUAUUUAUUUAGCAAACUAAGCAAAGAUAUAUAUAAGCAAAAAAAAUCUUUAUUUGGGAUUAUAUGAUUAUGCAUCCUUUUAUUAUUAGAGUAAAGUAUAAACAUGAGUAGAAUACUUAGCUGGAUAAAUGGGGGUGCUCUCCUCCAAGCUGGAUUUCGACAUAAUUUCUUCUGAUGUAGCUAGCAGGUGGCGGAGGUGUAUUUAAAUGUCGGCAGCACCCUGACAGUGAUUAGGAUGUUCUCCGUCUACUAGUCUUCUUUGAUCCUUGAAUUCUGUGGAGCUCAAAUAGACAACAAAGCUUUGUGAAACUAGUUAAGUGUUAGCAUAAAUAUCUAGCCUUUAUCAUGUUGAGCCUCCUCAAUAAAUGUUACUCAUUAGCAGGAUCAUAAUUUUAUUUUUAUAAUUUUAUUUUUAUAGGACAGGAAUAUAUUUAUUUCAUUUUUAUGCCACCACAGUGAAUGUACUUAUGGGUUUUAUGCCAUGAGCAUAAUCACAUGGGGCUUACUAUUUUUAUUUUCUUUUCAAGAUGAUAUGAACCUAAUUAACUAAGCAAACUAUUUUAAAAUAAUUGAAAGGAAAAAGAUAACUACCAAGUUUACCUCUUGGCAAGGCGUUCGGUGUUUUUAAGUGUUCCGAACGGAACUCUCCAUUUUCUCAGUCGUCCUGGGAUUCGCUCGUCCUCGGAUUCGCUGGAUGGCGUAGUCGGUGGUUCCGGCGGUGCCUGCUCUUCGUGUAUAACUAUCUUCUCUCUCCACACCUGAUUCGGUGCUACGGUCUCCUCAGGAUAGUUCUGUUCAAGCUUUAUGUCUUCAGACCUUACUACUUCUCCUUCGUAGUCUGCUCAUCCGUCCUUGAUGAUUUGCCUCCUCUGGUUGCGGUUGUGUCGUCUUCUUCUUGUCCUGACCUGCUUAGAGUCUUCAACUAUAUAGUUAAGGUCAGUAACAUAGCGGCGUACCUUCUCAGAGAGGAAGUACAUGUGGACUUCUCCGUUUCCAAUGUAGAUGAUUGCUUUAACGGUGCUGAGGAACGGUCUUCCAAGGAUGAUGGGUGGAUCGUUCUCGUCUUCUCCUAUGUUAAUAACUUUAACCUUCCGGAAUGUCUGAUCUGCCAUCUGGAGCUGAAUGUAUGUCGGUUUUAGGGGCAUAGUUCUGAAUAGGAGCUGAUACAUGACUGGGUCAUCCUUUUUGGUCAGGAACGGUGACUUAAGUCGACGAUCUUGACCUCCUUGAACUGGAGUGACCAUCUUAGCUGACUUGGUCCAAAUUUGUUGUUCCUGUUCCUCCUGUUGGUCAUCUUCCUUGGUUCAUGUCGGGAUUGCUCUAGGAUUUGUGUAGUCUUGUUCCCAAAGGAAAACGUCUUCUUCCUCCCCUUGAUGUAGAAACUGAUCUUGGCAGCACUAGCGUAGAUGAUAGCUCCCGAGGUGUUCAGGAAUGGCCUCCCUAGGAUGAUGGGU
This 9453-nucleotide long non-coding RNA is filed under the name Sorghum bicolor (sorghum). Its description in RNAcentral is "long non-coding RNA (SBIC_LNC004720)". The record is from RNAcentral. Lineage: Eukaryota; Viridiplantae; Streptophyta; Magnoliopsida; Poales; Poaceae.